UGUGAGAUGUUUAUGAUGCCCUCACCGUGGUGGUUUCCUUCCAGCCCCCAGUUGCUCUCUGGUCCCAGCCCUCCAUUUCCGUGACUGUUUCCCUGAAGUGCUUGCAUUAUACCCUUGUGCAAUACUCUUUUUGGUUUUUUUUUGAGAUGGAGUCUCACUCUGUCACCCAGGCUGGAGUGCAGUGAUGCGAUCUCAGCUCACUGCCACCGCCACCUCCCAGGUUGAAGCUAUUCUCAUGCUUCAGCCUCCUGAGUAGCUGGGAUUACAAGUGCCUGCCACUAUGCCCAGCUAAAGGUUUUUUGUUUUUGUUUUUGUGUUCUUUGAGAUGGAAUCUCACUCUGUCGCCCAGGCUGGAGUGCGGUGGCAUGAUCUCAGCUCACUGCAACCUCCACCUCCCGGGUUCAAGCAAUUCUGCCUCAGCCUCCCAAGUAACUGGGACUACAGGCACGUGCCACCAUGCCCAGCUAAUUUUUUUUUUUUUUUUUGAGACGGAGUCUCGCUCUGUCACCCAGGCUGGAGUGCAGUGGUGCAAUCUUGGCUCACUGCAAGCUCUGCCUCGCGGGUUCACGCCAUUCUCCUGCCUCAGCCUUCCAGGUAGCUGGGACUACCGGCUCCCACCACCACGCCAGCUAAUUUUUUGUAUUUUUAGUAGAGACGGGGUUUCACCGUGUUAGCCAGGAUAGUCUCAAUCUCCUGACCUCGUGAUCCGCCCGCCUCGGCCUCCCAAAGUGCUGGGAUUACAGGCAUGAGCCACUGCGCCUGGCCAGCCAGCUAAUUUUUGUAUUUUUAGUAGAGACAAGGUUUUACCAUGUUGGCCAGGCUGGUCUUGAACUCCUAACCUCAAGUGAUUUGCCCACCUCAGCCUCCCAAAGUGCUGGGAUUCCAGGCAUGACCUGCUGUGCCUAGUUGCCUUGUGCAAUACUCUUGUGGCAUAUUUGCUACACCUCCUGAACUUUGAUCAGUUUGCCUUUUACCAGCUAUUAUGACUCAAAAUUGUCCCCUAGAACAUGGAAUAAUGGCAGAAAGAAAGUGUGUGGUUGAAUAAACACACAGAUUGGCAUCCACCGUUGAAACAGGAAAACAUGUUAUGCUGCUGCUGUUGUGAGGGCUGAUGGGCCUUGAGAGAAAUGUAUUUCCUGCACUAUGUGUGUGUGAGUGUGUGUGAUUAUACUUUUUGGCCUCACAGCCCCAUCAUCCCUUUCUAAUAAGGUCACGUCUAUAAGGGGCUUAGGAUUGCAUCUGGCCUGUGUAAGCCCUCUGAGUUCUGCGGUUCUUAGAGUUCCCUUUUCAGCACUACAGCUCUGCCUUGUUCCCUUGUUCCUCCUUCUGGCGCCCCGUCCUGUGCCCCCUGCAGGAGUCCAAGCUGUCCCCGUGCUGCGUUCUGGUCCGGCCGCCCCUCCCGUGGUGUGGCCCUGGCUGACCCCCCUCCUGCACCCCGCUUCUCUUGCAGAAGCUGCUCUUUGCCGGCUCCCAUUCUCAGCUGGUGCAGCUGCCCGUGGCCGACUGCAUGAAGUAUCGCUCCUGUGCAGACUGUGUCCUCGCCCGGGACCCCUAUUGCGCCUGGAGCGUCAACACCAGCCGCUGUGUGGCCGUGGGUGGCCACUCUGGAUCUCUACUGAUCCAGCAUGUGAUGAUCUCGGACACUUCAGGCAUCUGCAACCUCCGUGGCGGUAAGAAAGUCAGGCCCACUCCCAAAAACAUCACGGUGGUGGCGGGCACAGACCUGGUGCUGCCCUGCCACCUCUCCUCCAACUUGGCCCAUGCCCGCUGGACCUUUGGGGGCCGGGACCUGCCUGCGGAACAGCCCGGGUCCUUCCUCUACGAUGCCCGGCUCCAGGCCCUGGUUGUGAUGGCCGCCCAGCCCCGCCACGCCGGGGCCUAUCACUGCUUUUCAGAGGAGCAGGGGGCGCGGCUGGCUGCUGAAGGCUACCUUGUGGCUGUCGUGGCAGGCCCGUCGGUGACCUUGGAAGCCCGGGCCCCCCUGGAAAACCUGGGGCUGGUGUGGCUGGCGGUGGUGGCCCUGGGGGCCGUGUGCCUGGUGCUGCUGCUGCUGGUGCUGUCAUUGCGCCGGCGGCUGCGGGAAGAGCUAGAGAAAGGGGCCAAGGCUACUGAGAGGACCUUGGUGUACCCCCUGGAGCUGCCCAAGGAGCCCACCAGUCCCCCCUUCCGGCCCUGUCCUGAACCAGAUGAGAAACUUUGGGAUCCUGUCGGCUACUACUAUUCAGAUGGCUCCCUUAAGAUAGUACCUGGGCACGCCCGGUGCCAGCCCGGCGGGGGGCCCCCUUCGCCACCUCCAGGCAUCCCAGGCCAGCCUCUGCCUUCUCCAACUCGGCUUCACCUGGGGGGUGGGCGGAACUCAAAUGCCAAUGGUUACGUGCGCUUACAACUAGGAGGGGAGGACCGGGGAGGGCUCGGGCACCCCCUGCCUGAGCUCGCGGAUGAACUGAGACGCAAACUGCAGCAACGCCAGCCACUGCCCGACUCCAACCCCGAGGAGUCAUCAGUAUGAGGGGAACCCCCACCGCGUCGGCGGGAAGCGUGGGAGGUAUAGCUCCUACUUUUGCACAGGCACCAGCUACCUCAGGGACAUGGCACGGGCACCUGCUCUGUCUGGGACAGAUACUGCCCAGCACCCACCCGGCCAUGAGGACCUGCUCUGCUCAGCACGGGCACUGCCACUUGGAGUGGCUCACCAGGGCACCAGCCUCGCAGAAGGCAUCUUCCUCCUCUCUGUGAAUCACAGACACGCGGGACCCCAGCUGCCAAAACUUUUAAAGGCAGAAGUUUCAAGAUGUGUGUGUUUGUAUUUGCACGUGUGUUUGUGUGUGUGUGUAUGUGUGUGUGCACGCGUGUGUGCGCUUGUGGCAUAGCCUUCCUGUUUCUGUCAAGUCUUCCCUUGGCCUGGGUCCUCCUGGUGAGUCAUUGGAGCUAUGAAGGGGAAGGGGUCGUAUCACUUUGUCUCUCCAACCCCCACUGUCCCGAGUGUCGGGCAGCGAUGUACAUAUGGGGGUGGGGUGGACAGGGUGCUGUGCCCCUUCAGGGGGAGUGCAGGGCUCGGGGUGGGCCUAGUCCUGCUCCUAGGGCUGUGAAUGUUUUCAGGGUGGGGGGAGGGAGAUGGAGCCUCCUGUGUGUUUUGGGGGAAGGGUGGGUGGGGCCUCCCACUUGGCCCCGGGGUUCAGUGGUAUUUUAUAGUUGCCUUCUUCCUGUACAGGGCUGGGAAAGGCUGUGUGAGGGGAGAGAAGGGAGAGAGGGUGGGCCUGUUGUGGACAAUGGCAUACUCUCUUCCAGCCCUAGGAGGAAGGCUCCUAACGGUGUAACUUAUUGUGUCCCCGCGUAUUUAUUUGUUGUAAAUAUUUGAGUAUUUUUAUAUUGACAAAUAAAAUGGAG
RNAcentral lists this small RNA (3387 nucleotides) under Pongo abelii (Sumatran orangutan). RNAcentral's name for it is "retained intron". The record is from RNAcentral. Lineage: Eukaryota; Metazoa; Chordata; Mammalia; Primates; Hominidae.